CCAGGCAAGCCACAACCACCAUUUGCAUGAUAGCCAUGCAGAAGCAUUGGUUUUCAACUUGAAUCUUUAAUAACUGCCUGUUCGUUUUGCUACCGCUGUCGGUAUUUCGGUUAUGCUUAUGGAUCGGUGUUUACGCUCAUGUUAUGUUUUCUUGCACUCUGUUAUUAUGUUCUUCAUGCUAGUAUUACUUUAAUAUUGGCAAUGUUUGGUAGUAGUACAUGUUGGUGAUGGUCUUCGGUGCAUGACUAUCGUCUGGUCCGAGUACCGCCGUUAUGCAUGUUUCUUUGCAUCCAGUUGAUUAAAUACUUGCAUGGUAGUUUUAUCGUUAUGUUAUUGCAUGGUAUUUAUUAUUGAUGCUUGAUACGUCUCCAACGUAUCUAUAAUUUAUGAAGUCUUCAUGCUAUUAUAUUAUCAACCUUGGAUGUUUUAUAUGCAUUUAUAUGCUAUUUUAUAUGAGUUUUGGGACUAACCUAUUAACCUAGAGCCCAGUGCCAGUUUCUGUUUUCUCCUUGUUUUAGAAUAUCGCAGAAAAGGAAAACCAAACGGAGUCCAAUUGACCUGAAACUUGACGGAGCUUAUUUUUGGACCAGAAGAAGGCCAAGGAGUCAAAGAGUUGGGCCGGAAGAGUCCCGGGCUGCCCACGAGGGUGGGGGCGCGCCCACCCCCUGGGCGCGCCUCCCUGCCUCGUGGACAGCCCGGAGACCCCCUGACUUGUUCUCGAUGCCAACACCUCUCAUAUAUACCCAAACUUCCAGAAAGAAACCUAGAUCGGAAGUUCCGCCGCUGCAAGCCUCUGUAGCCACGAGAAAUCAAUCUAGGCCCUCUCUGGCACCCUGUCGGAGGGGGCCAUCAUCACUGGUGGCCAUGGAGGAGUAUCCCGGAGAGGCCAUCAUUGCCAUGAAGGCCAAGGACCAGAGGGAGAACCUUUCCCCAUCCAGGGGGAGGCCAUGGAGGAGGAAGCACAAGGGGGAGAAACUCUCCUCCUCUCUCUUGGUGGCAUUGGAGUGCCAUCGGGAGGGGAAUCAUCGUCGCGGUGAUCGUCUUCAUCAACAUCACCAUCAUCAUCACCAUCCUCAUCUCUUUUACGCGGUCCACUCUCCCGCACCCCGCUGUAAUCCCUACUUGAACAUGGUGCUUUAUGCCACAUAUUAUGAUCCAAUGAUGUGUUGCUAUCCUAUGAUGUUUUGAGUAGAUAUCCUUUGUCUUUGGGUUGAUUGAUGAUCUAGAUUGCUACGAGUUGUAUGUUUUAUUUUGGUGCUGUCCUAUGGUGCCCUCCGUGUCGCGCAAGCAUGAGGGACUCCCGCUAUAGGGUGUUGCAAUACGUUCAUGAUUCGCUUAUAGUGGGUUGGUGAGUGACUGAAACACAAACCCGAGUAAGGGGGUUGUUGCGUAUGGGAAUAAAGAGGACUUGAUGCUUUAAUGCUAUGGUUGGGUUUUAGCUUAAUGAUCUUUAGUAGUUGCGGAUGCUUGCUAGAGUUCCAAUCAUAAGUGCAUAUGAUCCAAGUAGAGAAAGUAUGUUAGCUUAUGCCUCUCCCUCAUAUGAAAUUGCAAUGACGACUACCGGUCUUGUUAACAAUUGCCUAGGACAAUUCCGCACACCGAUCCACCAUUAUUCCACACUCGCUAUUUAUAAUAUUUAGUAAUAUAUUCUAAAUUUAUGAUAACAGCACCUACUUUUAUAUUUUAGCUCUCCGAUAUCAUGCAAAGUUAUCCUCUUCAUACCCACAACGUAGUUUUAUUUCUCGUUUCUAGUUGGAAGCAAACAUUCGGUGUACGUAGAGUCGUAUUAGUGGCAGAUAGGACUUGAGAUAAUAUUGAUCUUACCUUUAGCUCCUUGUGGUUUCAACACUCCAUACUUAUCACUUCCACCUUUGGAAAUUGCUACGAUGAUUCCCUGCACUUGGGGAUUAUCAAGCUCUUUUCUGGCGCCGUUGCCGGGGAGCAAUAGUGUGGGGUUUAUAUUCUCGUGUGUGCUUGUUUGCUUUCUUCACUAAGUAGAUUUUGUUUUUCCUUUUUGUUUAUAUUUAGUUGUGGGUGAAACAUACAAAAAAAAUUAAAGAAUGAAAAUACAAAAAAAUUAUUACUUGCCUCUCAUGCCUAAAAAGUUUUUCAAAAAGAGAACUGAUUGGAAAGUUAUGCAUUGAAGAAGUGAGGGUCGACCUUGAGCACUUGUGUUCAUGCUCACGGAAACAAUGUAGAAUUUUUCAUGGAAGUUUCUCUGUAAAUAAUUAUCCCCUUGUAUAUAUCCAUUGUAUUAUAAAAAUAAUGUGCCAAGCUUUGGUUUUAGGAUGAUUAGAUUGCUUGUUUACUAUGUGCAGAACAAAAACAGAAACUUUGGCUGUAGUGCAUGAAUUUAUAUUUUUGACUGGAAGGUCAAAUGGAUCUUAAACUACUUGCACAUUACUUCUCUACAAAUUUUUCAAAUUUUCAAAUUUAUUUCAUAAUUUUAGGAUUUACAGAAGUUUACUAAACUUCCAGAUUACUACAGACUGUCCUGUUUUUGACAGAUUCUGUUUUUCGCGUGUUGUUUGCUUAUUUUUAUGAAUCUAUGGCUAGUAUCGGUGGGUAUGAACCAUACAGAAGUUGGAAUACAGUAGGUUUAACACCAAUAAAAAUAAAGAAUGAGUUCAUUACAGUACCUUAAAGUGGUAGUUUGCUUUAUUACACUAACGGAUCUCACAAAGUUUUUGUUAAAGUUUUGUGUGGAUGAAGUGUUCGAAGAACGAGGAGUUACCGAUGUGAGAAGAAUAAAGAGAGGCAAGAUUUCAAGCUUGGGGAUGCCCAAGGCACCCCAAGUAAAUAUUCCAAGGAUACUCAAGCAUCUAAGCUUGGGGAUGCCCCGGUUGGCAUCACAUCUUUGUUCUUCAACAAUUAUCGGUAUACCUCAGUUUUUGUUUUGUUCACAUUAUUUGUGUCCUUUGUGUUUUUCUUUUUCUGUAAGAACCAUGCUAGUAUGAGAUGUCCCUUCAUAAAUUUACAGAAUACUUCAGGUGCUUCACUUAUAUCUUUUAAGUAUGAUCUUAUAGAAUUGCUCUUUGUGCUUCACUUAAAUCUUUUGAGUAUGGUUUUAUAGAAUGCUUCGUGUGCUUCACUUAUAUAUUUUGAGCUUGGAUAUUGGUUAGUGUAUAUUAAUUGUAGAAUGCUCCAUGAACUUAACAUAUAUCUUUUGGAGUAUGAAUAAUACUAUCAUCUAAAGCGGGUUUGGAAGAGUGUCAACUUUAGUAACUAGUGAUCCCGCUAUUCCGAAUGAGAAGAAUUUUGCUUAUGUGGAGAGUAGAAAAUUUUCUAUGCUUGUAGAUCAUGAAAAGAAUGCUUUAUGUGAUGGUUAUAUUGUUAAAUUCAUUCAUGAUGCCACUGAAAGUUAUCAUGAGGGAGGAAUAUAUGCUUGUAGGAGUUGCAAUAAUAUCAAGUUUCCUCUCUAUGUGCUUAAAGUUUUGAAGUUAUACUUGUUUUGCCUUCCUAUGCUAGUUGAUUCUUGUUCCUAUAAAUUAUGUGUUCACAAAAUCCCUAUGCAUAGGAAGUGGGCUAGAUUCAAAUGUGCUAGUCAUAUUCUUCAUGAUGCUCUCUUUAUGUCCCAAUUCAUAUCUUGUAUGUGAGCAUCAUUGAAAUCAUCAUGCCUAGCUAAAAGGCAUUAAAGAAAAGCGCUUGUUGGGAGACAACCCAAUAUUUACCCUUAUUGUUUUUGUGUGUUUGAAUGAUUAAGAUACUGUAGUAAUCAUGUUUUAUAGGUUUUGUUUCAAUAAAGUGCCAAGUAAGACCUUUGGGAAGACUCGGGUGAAAGUUAAUGUGAUCUUGCUGUAAAAAACAGAAACUUUGCGCUCACGAGAAUAGAUGUCAUUUCUUAAAGAAGAGUGCUUUUGAGUUGAUUCUUUUUGCAGAAGAUUAAUAGACAAAUUCCGCACGUCCACCAAUUUAUUUCAGAAUUUUUGGAGUAGCAGAAGUAUGGUUGGUGUUCAUAUCAUUACAGACUGUUCUGUUUCUGACAGAUUCUGUUUUCAUUGCAUAGUUUGCUUGUUUUCUAGUUUCUAUGGCUUAUAUUUCUCAAUAUAAAUUGUAGAAAUGAUAUGGUACAGUAGAAAUUGUGUGGGAACAAUUAUGAACCUUGUCUUUGACAGUACCAAAGUGAAUGGUUUACUCUUUAUCAUACUAACCUAUCUCACAAAGUUUUGUUAAGUUUUGUGUGAUUGAAGUUUUCAAGCCUUGGGUGAGAUGUCGAUAUGAGGAGAAUAAGGAGUGGAAAGACCCUAAGCUUGGGGAUUCACAAGGCACCCCAAGGUAAUAUUCAAGGAAGACUCAAGUGCCUAAGCUUGGGGAUGCCCCGGAAGGCAUCCCCUCUUUCGUCUUCAAAACUAUCGGUAUACCUUACUCGGAGCUAUAUUUUUAUUCGUCACAUGAUAUGUGUUUUGCUUGGAGCGUAUUUUCAAUUUUACUUGCUGUUUGAAUAAAAUCAUUGGAUAUGAAUUAUUGAAUGAAAAAGAAUCCUCCCAUGGCUAGUUAAUUAUUUGACUACUCGGUGUUCUUCACUUAUAUCUUUUGGAGUAGUUUGUCAUUUACUCAUGUGCUUCACGUAUAUGCUAUGAGUAAAUAGUUGAAUGAAUUGAAUGUCAUAAAUCUGAAUUUAUAUAUGUUUCAUAUUCUUAUGACAUGGGGAGUAAUGACUUCACACAUAAUAAGUAUAGGAAGUAAACGCAUUGAAAGUUAGCAAACGUAGAAUUGGUCACUUGAACAAUUCAUGAAAGAAUAUUGAAGGAAGAGAUAUUUCACAUAUAAAUAUACUAUCUUGGACAUCUUUUGUAAUUGCGAGCACUCAUUGAAAUAUGACAUGCUAAAAGGUUGAUUGUCGGACAAGGAAGACAACGUAAUGGGUUAUGUUUUCUUAUAUCCGAAAUAAAGUAUAUUGUCUUGGAUCAUCCAACAUGUUGAGCUUGCCUUUCCCUCUCAUUGCUAGCCAAAUUCUUUGCACCAAGUAGAAAUACUACUUGUGCUUCCAAACAACCCUUAAAACGAGUUUUGCCAUGAGAGUUCACCAUACCUACCUAUGGCUUGAGUAAGAUCCUUCAAGUAAGUUGUCAUCGGUGCAUGCAAUAAAAAUUGCUCUCUAAAUAUGUAUGAUCUAUUUGUGCGAAGAAAAUAAGCUUUAUACGAACUUGUGAUAGGGAAGAAAUAAAAGCAACGGACUGCAUAAUAAAGGUCUCUAUCACAAGAGACAAUAUAAAGUGACGUUCUUUUGCAUUAAGAUUUUGUGCAUCCACCCUUAAAAGCACAUGACAACCUCUGCUUCCCUCUGCGAAGGGCCUAACUUUUACUUGUAUCUUCUACCUUAUGCAAGAGUCAUGGUGAUCUUCACCUUUUCUUUUUACAUUUUAUCCUUUGGCGAGCACAUUGUGUUGGAAAGAUCCUGAUAUAUAUAUCCAAUUGGAUGUAAGUUAUCAUGAACUAUUAUUGUUGACAUUACCCUUGAGGUAAAAGGUUGGGAGGCGAAUUUAUAAGCCCCUAUCUUUCUCUGUGACCGAUUAAAACUUUGAACCCAUAAAUAUCACGUGAGUGUUAGCAAUUGCGAAAUAUUAAAUGAUAGUGCAGUAUGUGGAGUUUGCUAAAUCAAAGCUCUGACAUAGACCCUUCCUGAAAAUAAGAUGAGUUGCAAUUGUUUGAUGACUAAGAGCACGGUUUGUUAGUUUUCAAGAAAGUUUAUGAUCUAUACUUUAACAUGUGAAUAGCUUGUUACUUGAUCAUGAAAAGUUUUACGAGUUGAGCUACUGUUAUGACAUGUAUUGAUGCUAGAAAAAGUGAUUGAAAUUAUCAUUGAUCAAACUUAUGCACUUGCUAGCAUUCACACUUCAUAAAUUAUUUCUUUUAUCAUUUACCUACUCGAGGACGAGCAGGAAUUAAGCUUGGGGAUGCUGAUACGUCUCCAACAUAUCUAUAAUUUAUGAAGUCUUCAUGCUAUUAUAUUAUCAACCUUGGAUGUUUUAUAUGCAUUUAUAUGCUAUUUUAUAUGAUUUUUGGGACUAACCUAUUAACCUAGAGCCCAGUGCCAGUUUCUGUUUUCUCCUUGUUUUAGAGUAUCACAGAAAAGGAAAACCAAACGGAGUCAAAUUGACCUGAAACUUGACGAAGCUUAUUUUUGGACCAGAAGAAGGCCAAGGAGUCAAAGAGUUGGGCCAUGUCGGAUCUUGGGUUCCGGCAAAACCCUUAAGGUUCGAACUCUGGGGUGCGCGCGAAGUUCUUUCCCUCCUACCGAUCCACGCCCUAGCUCGCUAAGAUCUCACGGAUGAACUCGACGAACUCGCAACACAGAAAGACACGAGAUUUAUACUGGUUCAGGCCACCGAUGUGGUGUAAUACCCUACUCCAGUGUGUGGUGGUGGAUUGCCUCUUGGGCUGAUGAUGAAUAGUACAAGGGAAAGAACAGCCUCCUGAGGUUGAGGUGUUCUUGUGCUUGGUGAACUUGUGUGGUGAGAGCGUGACUUCAUCCCCUUCUACUGUGGUGGCUAGCUCUACUUAUAUAGGCACUGGUCCUCUCCCCAAAUAUUGAGCGGGAAGGGAGCCAACAACGGCGGGCAAAUUUGAAAGGGGACAGCUAGUACAAGCUAUCCUGACAAAAGCGGUCUUCGCCUGCAAAAGGCUCUGGUGAUGACGCCGUCUUGGGCUCCAUGGUGACCUCCGUCUUGCUGUCCUGCUGGUCUCGGUCUCGUUGCACCGAUAUGGAAACCUUUGCUUGACGCCUCAGAACUCCGCACCUGCGCUUGCUUCUUUAGCACCAAAGAGGAAACAAGGACGCUGCGCGCCCUGGCGCCCGCCUGGCGCCUGCCUGGUGUCGAUCGUCAUGGCUCACGUCAUGAGAGCCUCGUGAGGUUUGCCCCUCCUUGAUAUCUCUGCUCCUCGUGAGCCUGCCUGGCUAGGCCGCUCCUGAGGAGGUCUUGCGUCGUCUGCCUCGCGAAGGUCUUGAUUGCCUUGUUGAUGAAGAUGGGUCGUACGGCCCGCUAGCUUAGCCACGCCAUGGGCCGCAGGCAGGCAAGUCUGGGGACCCCCAUUCCCAGAACGCCGACAGUAGCCCCCGGGCCCAAGGCGCGCUCGGGCUUGGCUUCGAGACGAAGCCAAGGGUCAAGUACAGAGCGUUGCGGGCCCCAAAAGCCUGCAGCCUCAGUUGACGGGUGGCGGUUGAUUGGACGUGGGCAUCUCCGCUUCCCCACGCUGCCUUAGAAUCCGCCUGGCUACGCGGCCCCCGCGACCUACACAGUUAUUCCUCCGUCGUCUGUGCCUUGCUUCCCCAAUCUCUCUGCUUCCUCGAGACUCUGUUUCUCUUCUUCAAUCUGACCUGCCCUCUGCCCGCUUCGCUGCCAUGGCGCCGAAACAAGCAGAGAAGGGGAAGAAGCCCCUAUCUCCGCCAAGCGCGCCUCCGGCCGUUGAGCCGGCGCUGGGCCGAUCCCGGGUGCUCAACGACGAGGCCAUGGACAAGGUGCGUCCAAUGCUUGCUUCCAGCUUCAACGAGUGGGGAGAUACGGUGGCUUGGCCCGCGUCUCGCACUCGCAUGGCUCGGGCAGCCACUGAAGUCCCAAUCUUCAUAGAUGCCCUCUGGGCUGGCCUGAUUCCUCCCUUCUCCGCCUUCUUUAAUGCGGUGCUCGAGCAUUAUUAGAUCCACAUGCUGCAUCUUGACCCUCAAUCGGUGACUCUUCUUGCUGUCUUCGCCUUUGUGUGCGAAGCCAUGGUGGGUACCGCUCCUUCGGUGGCCCUCCUCCGCCGUUUCUUCUCACUGCACCUGGCUGACCCUCAGCAGUGCUCGGGGUGCGUGAGCUUCCAGGCCGUGGCCGCAAUGGAGGGCGCGGGGAUUUACUUUGAGCUCCCUUCAUCCACGAGAGAGUUUCGUACACGAUGGGUGUUUGUCGAUGCCGGCGUGCUCAGCCCUCUGCUUCAUGCUCCGGCGGGGCCUGCUGUUCCAAACUCCGGCUGGGGCCACCAGAAGCUCAUGAGCCCCCGCCUCGCUCCCGUCUGGGCUAGGCUAAGGAGGUUGAAGGACCGCGGCGUGACCGCGCCUAUGGUGGUGAAGGAGUUCGUCAAGCCCCGAGUCGCACCGCUUCAGCGCCAUUCCUGCCUGAUGUGAGCCUUGCUCAGCAGUCAGGACCACAUGAGGCUUCAAGAGGAGGGGAUUCCUUUCAAGACGCGGGAGACAGUGCUUACGGUCAUGACGGGUGCCCCUCUACCAGACGACAUGCCCAGGAAGAGCUGCCUGCUGUACCGUUGCGAGAACAAGGUCGAAUUUGCCGAGAGCAUGCCCACCUUUGACGAGUGGGGGCUCCGCCCGAUCGGCCUGGUGGGGCCCCGCAAGAACCCCGUCGACGUGGUUCCCUUCCUUGCCGCCGGUGCCGAGCUCGCCCCAGGUGAGGGUGCAGGAGGGCGAGCUCCGACGGAGGCCGGUGGCUUAAGUGCUGAGGAGCACAUGCUGCGCGGCAAUCCUGGGGCGUCGUCCUCGGGAGCUUGCGACACCUUCCCCGAGACGUCGGUCGCUGAGGAGACGCGGCAUGCAGCUCCCAAGGCCAAGGCCCCGGAAGCCUCAGGAGGUUGUGGUGAGGCGGCGCCCAGCUGUUCGCCGCAGCCAGGCACCCCUGAAGCUGUCCUUCCAAGUUCUUCCUUGACCUCGGCCCGCGCUGGCCGCCAUGUCCAGCGCUUCAGUCGGCUUUGCAUGGACUUCGAGGAGCUCCGCAAGAGCAAAGGAUCCCCGAGCGGCAACAACAUCUUCGGGACGCUGAAGCAAAGGAAGUACAUCACCAUCGAUGCGGGAGUACCGUACUAUUAUGGCUUCUUGCGUGUUGUUUUCUUCUCCUGACGCCAGUCCUUCAGGGCUCCUUCCGUCGAGGCUGCCACGUCUCCUGAGAAGCGGCCUCCUCCUUCCUCGACUCCCCCGUCGGCCUCGAGCGUUCCGGGUCCACUUGCCGCUCCUGGAGCAGGGUUGGUUGAAGGAGCGCUCCUGCCUUCGUGGCGCGCUGAGCCUGCAGCUUCGUCGCCCCUCCCCCACGGUCUGGCGUGGAGCUUGGCGGGCGUGCCCAAGACCCCUCCUCUGGUUAUGGACUGUAGCUGGUUGGCCUCGAUCUUUGGCUCCUCUUCAAGCAGCGAGCCCCGAUUGGCUUGGGCUCCUCACGAGGACCGGUUGACACCAGGUGCAGCACCAGCCCCCAGCCCCCUGCUGAAGGGCGGCGCGCCGCUUGAUGCCCCGCCCGCGGCCCCCGAGGUGGAGGACGAAGUGGGCCGAGCAUUCGAGCUCGAGCGCGGGCGGAGCGUAGUUCGCCAUGGCUCUUCUAGGAGGCAAUGGGCGCAAUGAGCCGACUUGGUGAAGAGCUCGCAGGUGUUGACUCGCGCCUUGAGGCUGAGGGUCUUCGGCUGGUGGAGGAACGGCGCAAGCUGAGGGCGGCUAUCAACCUUGGCCGCUACCAGCGUGAUCUUGAGAACGCGAAGGCCGAGGCGUCCCUCAAGGUUUCCCGCGAAGCUUGCUCCCGAGCCUUGGAGGAGGCUCACGAGGCUGGCUGCCGCCGCGAGGCUGCGGAGAAGCGCGCGUGGAGCUCCAGGCCUGGAGUGCAUCCCUCGAGCAGCAGGUGGAGGCGCGCAGAGCUGCUCUUGCGUCGCUGCGGGGGACGCCUACCGAGGAGAAGGACAUCCGGAAGUGUGAGGAGGCGCUGGCCCUGGAGGCCGUGGAGCGCAGCCUCGAGCUCGAGCAACUGGAGACGAGGGAGCGUCAAGUUGCUUAAGCAGAACAUGCCGUUGGGGUUCGCGAGGCCAAGGUGCAGGAGGAGGUCGACCGCCGGGUGGCCGAGGUUCGCGCAGAUCUAGAGGGUAGGUAUGAUUUGAAAUUGAAGCUCGUAGGGACGGAGGGUGCGGGCAGGGCCGCUGCCCUCAGGCCCAGGUUGGACGAGGCGAAGAGGCGUGGGGAGGCCACGGCCGCCGCCCUGGUCAUGGCGCAGGCGGACUUGGCCUCCGCCCGCGCCGAGCUGCUUUCCCUUCAGAAGCGGGUUGACGAUGCAGAGGCCGCCGUGCGGCAAAACAGGGAGGAAGUGCUCCAAUGGCGGACGUUGGAGCGCGAGCACGCCCCCAUGCUUCAGGAUCUCCGGAACAGGGCUAAUACCGCCCUGGGCUACAUCUGCGACGAGAAUGCACCGCAUCCUCACUCAAAUGACUACGCCAGCCACCUGACCUUCUUCACCGAUGUUGUGACGCGCCUGGAAGCCCGGUCUGACAGGUCUCGCUGGCUCGUGGAAGAGAGAAGUUGGGGCCUGCUCGGGCGCGCGUUCUCUCGCGUCUUUAGCCACCUCAGGAGCACCUUUCCUGACUUCGACUUCGACGCCGCCAUUGCCCCCGUGCCGCAGGCCGUCCGGGGUGACCUGGCGCGGUGGGUGGAGGACAACGUGGAUGCGCUGGUCAGAGCCUUCGCUUCUGACGACGACGCGGUGGUGGUCAUCGCAGACGAAGGCGAUGUGGUUGACAACGGCGAUGAAGGCGUCGCCGAAGGCGGCGACGAUGUCGGCGAAGACGAAGAUGAUGCGAGUGACGCAUCCGAGGGCGACGCAGCAAGUGACAUAUCUGCCUGAUCCCAUGUUCUCCUGUUGUUGCAUCCUGCACGCAAAAACUCGGGCACGGCCCUCGGAAAACUUGUAAGAGCAUUUUGAGAGGGGGAGCCCCUCAUGUAAGCAAGUUGCAGCCUUUACUUUUCUACGUGGUAUUGAGUAUGUGCCCUCGCAAACUCGUAAGUCCAGGGGUGAGUUUCCCGUCGUGGGUUACCUUAGUCAGUGCCAGCCUCGAGCUGGGUCGUGAGGCGUCGAGUUUCUGAGAACCCUGCGGAGCUUGUCGACCCGUCAGGAGGGGCCCCGCAAGAGGCAAGCACCAGUUGCAGCGUUAGCGCACGCUCGGCACGCAUGCGCUUCGCGCAGUCCCGCUCGCGAGGGGCUCAUGAGGGGAAGGCGACGGACAUGAGUCCCAGGCAGAACAAAAUCCAGAAAGCAAGAAAUUGCUUGAAAGAGAAAAGGCACCCCCCCGCGCGCGCACCGAUAAAAACUCGACUUCAACUUAAAUCCAGAUCCAGAAAGGAAGGCUACAGAAAAAAAGAUCCAAAACGAAAGGCCGCGUCCGGCGCCUAUUCUAGUCUUCUGGUCUUCAAGUCUUCUCACCAGCGCGGAGCUAUGUGCUGCCACUAGGCGUGGGAGGGAGCCCCAGGGCCUGAGUCCGGCACCCCUAAGACUCCGGGGCAUGUACAGCCCCAACUCAUUAUUACGUGAGAGUGUCACGGGCAGCGAGCUUCACAUGCACUGGGCCUUCUUCACAGGUACCGGCCUUGCUUCAUGUCGCCAGACGAGGGCCCCGCCUUGCGCCACCCUCGACCACCUUUGAGUCGGCCGGCAACCUGGAUGACACAAAGGGGGGAAAGAGGACGCCAGCGGUGCCCUCGGCGACCACGGGUCCUCUGCCGAGGGAAGGGUCGUCGAGGCCUCCCCGGCAGAGCGCCUACCUCCGGGUGUCGCCCGGCUUCGCGCGACGUAGGGAGGGGCCUUGCUCCUGGCUCCCUCCUGGUGGCCCCCAGCGUGCUUCCCUUGUUGGAAGGGAUGCUGCUGUGCCAGGGUCGUCGAUCGAUGCUGCGACCUGAUUCACUUGCAGCCCAUGGUUAGCGUAAGCCUGCUCCUAAGAGAUUAGUGGUACCCUGUAGUUGCCGUGGAUGGCGCAAUCGUCGUGGUUCUCUGUUGGUUCCUGGAAGGCUUCGACUCCUAGCGCCCCUUCUUCCCAAUCUUCUCCAACGAACGAGUCGGGGUCGUCCUCCGGUGCGUACUCUUGGUCCAUCAUGCGGGGUACGUAGGCUUCCAGGGCCGUUACCCCGAACACCUCGCCGUAGUGCCCCACACUCCAUGUUGCUCGGCCCAGCGUGGCGUCCUGAGGACAGUAGCGCGGCAUCUCGCUGGGACCAUGGGGGGCGACGCUUGUGCCCGUGCUUAUUGCGGGCAGCAUGGGGGCGGAGGAGCCCCCGGCACUGCCGGCUGCGCUGGUGUUGAUGAAGCCCCCAGGCACGCCCGAUGGCGCGUGGUUGCGGCGAGGCCCGCCACGAGGCCCCGCAACGGCCUGAGUAGGGAGCCGAUAGCAGAAGGGCGGUGCUCCUGACGCUGCCGCGUCCAGCAGCUCGGCAACGCGUUCCAGCAGCGCAUCCCGGCCGCUCUCCAUCAGCCGGCACCGCAGCAGCUCUCUUGCCACUGUGAGUGCUGCCCGCAUGUUUGCCUGCUCCCGCCGCGAGUGCGGCGCCGUCGCCGUGGCGUGUCUUGCUGCCCUUGCACCGGUUCGUACUUGUCGUGGAGUGAGGGUGGACGACGCCUGGCCGUGCCGCCCGCGCCCCGCAGCGUUGGACGGCGCUCGCGCCGCCUGGAGCGUGGGGUCGAGGUCUUCAUGGGCAGGCGUCGUCGCCCGGGCCGGCCAGGCUACCCAUCGGUUGGAGUCAGCUCUUGGGUCGCCGGACAUCUUGGCCGUGAAGCGUCGGUAAGUCGAUUGGCGAGGAAGAAGCUCCGGCGCACCCCUACCUGGCGCGCCAAAUAUCGGAUCUCGGGUUCCGGCAAAACCCUUAAGGUUCGAACUCUGGGGUGCGCACGAAGUUCUUUCCCUCCUACCGAUCCACGCCCUAGCUCGCUAAGAUCUCACGGAUGAACUCGACGAACUCGCAACACAGAAAGACACGAGAUUUAUACUGGUUCAGGCCACCGAUGUGGUGUAAUACCCUACUCCAGUGUGUGGUGGUGGAUUGCCUCUUGGGCUGAUGAUGAAUAGUACAAGGGAAAGAACAGCCUCCUGAGGUUGAGGUGUUCUUGUGCUUGGUGAACUUGUGUGGUGAGAGCGUGACUUCAUCCCCUUCUACUGUGGUGGCUAGCUCUACUUAUAUAGGCACUGGUCCUCUCCCCAAAUAUUGAGCGGGAAGGGAGCCAACAACGGCGGGCAAAUUUGAAAGGGGACAGCUAGUACAAGCUAUCCUGACAAAAGCGGUCUUCGCCUGCAAAAGGCUCUGGUGAUGACGCCAUCUUGGGCUCCAUGGUGACCUCCGUCUUGCUGUCCUGCUGGUCUCGGUCUCGUUGCACCGAUAUGGAAACCUUUGCUUGACGCCUCAGAACUCCGCACCUGCGCUUGCUUCUUUAGCACCAAAGAGGAAACAAGGACGCUGCGCGCCCUGGCUCCCGCCUGGCGCCUGCCUGGUGUCUAUCGUCAUGGCUCACAUCAUGAGAGCCUCGUGAGGUUUGCCCCGCCUUGAUAUCUCCGCUCCUCGUGAGCCUGCCUGGCUAGGCCGCUCCUGAGGAGGCCUUGCAUCGUCCGCCUCGCGAGGCUUGGCCCCUCGCGAAGGUCUUGAUUGCCUUGUUGAUGAAGAUGGGUCAUACGGCCCGCUAGCUUAGCCACACUGUGGGCCGCAGGCAGGCAAGUCUGGGGACCCCCGCUCCCAGAACGCCGACAGGCCAGAAGAGACACGGGCUGCCCACGAGGGUGGGGGGCUCGCCCACCCCCCUGGGCGCGCAUCCCUGCCUCGUGGACAG
RNAcentral lists this long non-coding RNA (13538 nucleotides) under Triticum aestivum (bread wheat). Its description in RNAcentral is "long non-coding RNA (TAES_LNC004687)". The record is from RNAcentral. Lineage: Eukaryota; Viridiplantae; Streptophyta; Magnoliopsida; Poales; Poaceae.